GACGAACGCUGGCGGCGUGCUUAACACAUGCAAGUCGAACGGAAAGGCCCUACUUUUGUGGGGUGCUCGGGUGGCGAACGGGUGAGUAACACGUGAGUAACCUGCCCUUGACUUUGGGAUAACUUCAGGAAACUGGGGCUAAUAUCGGAUAGGAGCUCCUGCUGCAUGGUGGGGGUUGGAAAGUUUCGGCGGUUGGGGAUGGACGCGCGGCUUAUGAGCUUGUUGGUGGGGUAGUGGCUUACCAAGGCUUUGACGGGUAGCCGGCCUGGGAGGGUGGCCGGCGACAUUGGGACUGAGAUACGGCCCAGACUCCUACGGGAGGCAGAAGUGGGGAAUAUUGCACAAUGGGCGGAAGCCUGAUGCAGCAACGCCGCGUGCGGGAUGACGGCCUUCGGGUUGUAAACCGCUUUCGCCUGUGACGAAGCGUGAGUGACGGUAAUGGGUAAAGAAGCACCGGCUAACUACGUG
Molecule: ribosomal RNA, 468 nt
Filed under: uncultured bacterium
Lineage: Bacteria
Description: partial 16S ribosomal RNA
Rfam family: Bacterial small subunit ribosomal RNA
Source: RNAcentral